CCUACGGGAGGCAGCAGUGGGGAAUUUUGGACAAUGGGGGAAACCCUGAUCCAGCAAUGCCGCGUGUGUGAAGAAGGCCUUCGGGUUGUAAAGCACUUUUGUCCGGAAAGAAAACUUCUGCCCUAAUACGGUGGGAGGAUGACGGUACCGGAAGAAUAAGCACCGGCUAACUACGUGCCAGCAGCCGCGGUAAUACGUAGGGUGCGAGCGUUAAUCGGAAUUACUGGGCGUAAAGCGUGCGCAGGCGGUUCGUUAAGACAGAUGUGAAAUCCCCGGGCUUAACCUGGGAACUGCAUUUGUGACUGGCGAGCUAGAGUAUGGCAGAGGGGGGUAGAAUUCCACGUGUAGCAGUGAAAUGCGUAGAGAUGUGGAGGAAUACCGAUGGCGAAGGCAGCCCCCUGGGCCAAUACUGACGCUCAUGCACGAAAGCGUGGGGAGCAAACAGGAUUAGAUACCCUGGUAGUCCACGCCCUAAACGAUGUCAACUAGUUGUUGGGUCUUACAUNUACUAGUACGUAGUCUACGCGUGUAGUGCGCCGUGGAGGUAGGUCGCGAGAUAACUACGAAGAAGUAGACGCGUGAGAGUGCGACGACGACGACGAGGGAGGAGG
This 611-nucleotide ribosomal RNA is filed under the name uncultured bacterium. RNAcentral's name for it is "bacterial SSU rRNA". The stretch from base 1 to 538 matches the Rfam family "Bacterial small subunit ribosomal RNA", at positions 338 to 873 of the family's 1533-position model. The record is from RNAcentral.